UAAACGGCAUUGACGAAGAAGAGUAGCUUAAUGGAUGCAUUUUAGAGAGCCGGUGGCAGGUGUGAACCGGUAUGUAUCGUUUAGUGAAUGGACUUUCGAGCCCCAAACCGAAACCGCUCGCGGAAGUAGGCCUUGGCGAACGCGCCUUAUCGUUACAAAAGGCAGGCAAAUUAUUAUUGCCGUAAAGUGAGCUUUUAAAGCUAAUAAAGGUGGUACCACGGGUUCCUCGUCCUUUUG
RNAcentral lists this non-coding RNA (237 nucleotides) under Bacillus sp. CECT 9360. Its description in RNAcentral is "T-box". It matches the Rfam family "T-box leader". Rfam says of the family: Uncharged tRNA acts as the effector for transcription antitermination of genes in the T-box leader family. Lineage: Bacteria; Bacillati; Bacillota; Bacilli; Caryophanales; Bacillaceae. The record is from RNAcentral.